RNAcentral lists this ribosomal RNA (194 nucleotides) under uncultured marine bacterium. Its description in RNAcentral is "partial 16S ribosomal RNA". It matches the Rfam family "Bacterial small subunit ribosomal RNA", at positions 338 to 524 of the family's 1533-position model. The record is from RNAcentral.
CCUACGGGAGGCAGCAGUGGGGAAUAUUGGACAAUGGGCGCAAGCCUGAUCCAGCCAUGCCGCGUGUGUGAAGAAGGCCUUAGGGUUGUAAAGCACUUUCAGUGGGGAGGAAGAGUAGUUUGUUAAUACCAAAUUACUUUGACGUUACCCACAGAAGAAGCACCGGCUAACUCUGUGCCAGCAGCCGCGGUAAU